Cololabis saira (Pacific saury) is the source of this 304-nucleotide long non-coding RNA. RefSeq lists it as uncharacterized. NCBI's taxonomy places the organism in Eukaryota, Metazoa, Chordata, Actinopteri, Beloniformes, Belonidae. The transcript is spliced from 3 exons. The record is from RefSeq and is a predicted model, not a curated record.
UCCGUGUCGCAGCAGAGCAAAAACAAAAGUGUUGAAGUUUUAGUUUGAAGUCAAGAAAAGUGAUUAAACGCUCAUUCACUCAGAAAGUGGGCGUGGCUUGAGUGUGAUUGACAGCUGGAUGCCCCGCCCCCUGAAGGUUCCAGGUGAUGGCGGCCUGCUCGGAGCUCCGCCCCCCAGCCCCGCCCCGCCGGCAGACAGACAUCCAGGUCGAGGCCACGGUCCACCUGCAGAUCUUCCCCGACCCGGCGGCGGUGGUUCGAGUCCUGCGGUCCCGCGGGUUUGAGGUGACGGAGCUGGACGGGGG